AGCUGUUGGAGGAGGACUUGGUGGUGCUAAGGAAUGGAGUACUGCAAGGACGGACGCCGCUUCCGUUGAACUCAGGUGAGCUUGCGAGUCCGCGACGGCCUUGGUGAUUUUACUAUUACUGCUACUCUAUUAGUCAUGGAAUUCGGGAGAGCUUGGGUUCGAAUUUUAUUUUCUGGGAUUUUUAUCGGGGUGUAUGCAACUGUAUAACUGUAAAUUGGCUUGCCCCUGGGUGUUCUUGGUUGGUGAUUCGGCAAUGAUUUGAAGCGGUCUGGCUUAUGAGCCGGUGGUUAGGUGGAGUCUGGUUAUUAUAGUUUCGGUACAGGAGGGGGAAAGGUGGCACAAAUCUGGGGGCAGGGCAUGUUUCUGCCUGAUUGAUCCAAUCAUUUUUUUCUUCUGGUAUCAAUCAAUCAUGCCAGCAUCUGAAACGGACUAUCAAAUCUGAAUUAGCACUGUUUUUUAUAUAUAAUGAUACCAUACAGCUCGAGAUGAACAUAUGCUUGACUGAAUAGCUGUUCAUACAUCUGGAGGUGUUACUAUGAGUACAAUUACCAUUCAGAAAGAAAAGAACUAUGAGUAAAAUGCAGAGAACGCACUUCCAGACUAUCAAUCAUGCAUGCCCAUAUCAUUUGCUUUUCUUAAUGUUUCUCAGUUUAACUUACUAGUCUCUUGUCUAUGUAUUUUUUGCUGCCAGAAGGGACCCAAAUAGGUUGCAACUGGGAGUAAAAUAUGUGUCUAAACUGAUCGUCUGGUGCGAAAAUUGACGACCAAGAUCCAGUUAUGUGUAUUGCAGGACAACACCUUUCAUUAGAUACACUUUGAUGCUAUUUCUAGCAUGAAUUUCUAUUUCAGACUUAAAACUAAAAUUCUGAACAAGUAAAAUCGCUCUUGUUCCUUAUUUUUUUAGGGCGGUUCCUCUCGUUUUACUGGUUCGUCCGCUCCUUCAUGAUUGAUGUACUGGUUCUAGCCCCUCCUUCGUGAUAGACUCGGUUAACUCUUUGUUAGCCUUGUGGGUCAUAAUUCUUUCUCUCCAGACGCAUAUACUGCCUGAUGUAUUGCUCAUGCUCAUUCUGUACCGAGAUAGUCCUAAUAUCCAUAGGGUUGUAGAUUGAUUUCCCCUGAAAAAGCUAUGCUUCUUUCCUUGGAUGAUAAGCAUGUUCGGUAGCUAUGUGGAAUUCUUAAGAUAAACGGUCUUUACUUUCUUUUGGUGCAUCUGCGUGCACAUAAUAGUCUGUUAGUUUCUCUUUAUAUAAUGAAAAAAAUAUGUUGUUGUAGCUUGUUUAUUAUUAUCUAUCAUUUGUAGAUUGAUUUUUAGGCCACCGGUACUUGUAUGUAUAAUUUCUAGUCUCUUGAAUGAAUAAUUUUUCUUUAUGUGUCAUGCGUCUUGUGUUACUACAUACAUCUGUCGUGAAGUACAUGGUUCCGGAACUAUGGUAACCCAUAGUUUGCUCUACUCGUGAUAGUAGGAUGAUGGAAGCAUCACUAUUGAAUGUAGUUCAUGUUUCUUCAUAUAAUCAUCAUUUACUAGAGUUUCUCUUCUUCUUGCUACUGCUUGGUUUUUGACGCCACUAGCUUGUACUAGAACGCAAACACAUCAUAUUGUUUUCAUCAGACUAGUGUACCUUGAGCAUGCAAAGUAAACACAUGCUACUCCACUUGUCUAUUUGUACAUAAACUUUUGUUUAAAUAAACCGAGCUAAUAAACCAAACGGUGCGAACACAUUCAGUUCUGAAAUUUGUCUACUCCACUUGUUUGAUUGUACUGAAACCUUUGUUUGCAUGUUUCUAAAAUACAGAGAAGAACACCCUGUGUUCUGGUAAAAUUUCCUAUGAUAUGAAAUUCCAUGAUGUGUGUGUUGUUUCAGUUUCUGUAGCUACAACAAAGUCCCAGUUUACUCUGUACUUGCUUUUGAUGAUUGCUGGCUAAAUUUACAGUUGAAAUAAUAGUAGCCAAGGAGUAGAUACAAGACGUAUUUACCAUAUUUUGCAUGGAAUGUUAAAAAUCAGUUUUGUUGUGGUUUCUUGUUCUGUGAGUCAAAUUGCAUAAGAUGGGAGUAUCACAACAUGCAUAUACUGAAGAUGGGAGUAUCACAACCUGAAUGUGCAGCUUAUGUAGUUUCUGUAUUUUUGUUAAAGCAUGGAGUAGCUUCUAUAGUUUCUGUAUUUUUGUUAAAGCAUGGAGUAGCUUCUAUAGCUUCCUCACAAGUUAAUGCUUCGCUCGUCCGGGUGUGUGAUAAUGCCAUUUGUCUUGUGCAAUCAGAUUACAUUUCUGUUUGUUAUGGUAAUAUAAAUAUUCAUCCUGUCAAAAUUUUCACAGUGCGUGUCUUUCAUUUCUUUAAUUUGAUUGUUUCCCUUGUAUUCAAUAUGCUUCUAGUGGCUGAUCCUUCCAUUUUUGUUGUGGCAUCUUUAUUUUCACAGGUGUUGUGUGUUCUGGAAGAUGGAAGAGGAAGAAAUUGUUGAACUAAAUUUUCUGUAUUCUGUUUUGUUGUACGUAUCAUUUGAUAGUUUUGUAUAGGAACAAGUGAUACUAUUUUGUAGGGCUUUAUGGCCUGUGAUGUAAACAUAUUUAGUGCUGAAAUAUGAAAUUAUUUGCAAAAUUUGUCAAAAAGGUGGAUCAUAUGUAUGAAUAUGUGAAUGGGCUGAAAAGAGUACUGGACCAACUCCAGGAUUG
This 2668-nucleotide long non-coding RNA is filed under the name Triticum aestivum (bread wheat). Its description in RNAcentral is "long non-coding RNA (TAES_LNC021089)". The record is from RNAcentral. Lineage: Eukaryota; Viridiplantae; Streptophyta; Magnoliopsida; Poales; Poaceae.